RNAcentral lists this ribosomal RNA (428 nucleotides) under uncultured bacterium. RNAcentral describes it as "partial 16S ribosomal RNA". It matches the Rfam family "Bacterial small subunit ribosomal RNA", at positions 354 to 796 of the family's 1533-position model. The record is from RNAcentral.
GUGGGGAAUAUUGGGCAAUGGGCGAAAGCCUGACCCAGCAACGCCGCGUGAAGGAAGAAGGCCCUCGGGUUGUAAACUUCUUUUAAGAGGGACGAAAGAAAUGACGGUACCUCUUGAAUAAGCCACGGCUAACUACGUGCCAGCAGCCGCGGUAAUACGUAGGUGGCGAGCGUUAUCCGGAUUUACUGGGUGUAAAGGGCGUGUAGGCGGGAGUGCAAGCCCGAUGUGAAAAUUAUGGGCUCAACCCAUAACCUGCAUUUGAAACGGUUUUUCGUGAGUGAUGGAGAGGCAGGCGGAAUUCCGUGUGUAGCGGUGAAAUGCGUAGAUAUACGGAGGAACACCAGUGGCGAAGGCGGCCUGCUGGACAUUAACUGACGCUGAGGCGCGAAAGCGUGGGGAGCAAACAGGAUUAGAAACCCUUGUAGUCC